This 335-nucleotide unclassified non-coding RNA is filed under the name soil metagenome. RNAcentral describes it as "partial contains 5.8S ribosomal RNA, internal transcribed spacer 2, and large subunit ribosomal RNA". The stretch from base 1 to 120 matches the Rfam family "5.8S ribosomal RNA", at positions 35 to 154 of the family's 154-position model. The record is from RNAcentral.
GAUGAAGAACGUAGCGAAAUGCGAUAAGUAAUGUGAAUUGCAGAAUUCAGUGAAUCAUCGAAUCUUUGAACGCACAUUGCGCCCGCUAGUAUUCUGGCGGGCAUGCCUGUUCGAGCGUCAUUUCAACCAUCAAGCCCUUUAGCUUGUGUUGGGGACCUGCGGCUGCCGCAGCCCCCGAAAUGCAGUGGCGGGCUCGUUGUCACACCGAGUGCAGUAAUCAUUCUUCUCUCCGGGCGUGGCGGCGGGUUCCGGCCGUAAAAUCACCAAUUUAUCAAGGUUGACCUCGGAUCAGGUAGGAAUACCCGCUGAACUUAAGCAUAUCAAUAAGCGGAUGA